UAAAUGUUACAGCCCUUGUGUUCAUGUCUUACCCACUCCCCACUAUACAAAGUACUUCUUUUCUUUUGGUUCUUUUUUUUUUUUUUUUUUCCGGAGCUGGGGACCAAACCCAGGGCCUUGCGCUUCCUAGGCAAGCGCUCUACCACUGAGCUAAAUCCCCAACCCCACAAAGUACUUUUCAGUAUUUCCUAUUUUUCACAUUAAAGAACAGAAACUCUGUAAACUUGCUGUUUUCUAAUGAACAGAUGGCCUCCUUAGCAGUGUCCAACUGGCCCAAGCCCAUGCCGUUGAUUCCAUGCCUGUCUUGGUCCACAGCGUCUGGGGUCUUCACCACG
RNAcentral lists this long non-coding RNA (335 nucleotides) under Rattus norvegicus (Norway rat). RNAcentral's name for it is "long non-coding RNA NONRATT015254". Lineage: Eukaryota; Metazoa; Chordata; Mammalia; Rodentia; Muridae. The record is from RNAcentral.